AUACGUAGGGGGCAAGCGUUAUCCGGAUUUACUGGGUGUAAAGGGAGCGUAGACGGCACUGCAAGUCUGGGGUUUGAAAGCCCGGGGCUCAACCCCGGGACUGCUUUGGAAACUGUGGUGCUAGAGUGCAGGAGAGGUAAGUGGAAUUCCUAGUGUAGCGGUGAAAUGCGUAGAUAUUAGGAGGAACACCAGUGGCGAAGGCGGCUUACUGGACUGUAACUGACGUUGAGGCUCGAAAGCGUGGGGAGC
RNAcentral lists this ribosomal RNA (249 nucleotides) under uncultured bacterium. RNAcentral's name for it is "partial 16S ribosomal RNA". It matches the Rfam family "Bacterial small subunit ribosomal RNA", at positions 523 to 769 of the family's 1533-position model. The record is from RNAcentral.